CCCAGACUCCUACGGGAGGCAGCAGUGGGGAAUAUUGCACAAUGGGGGAAACCCUGAUGCAGCGACGCCGCGUGAGCGAUGAAGUAUUUCGGUAUGUAAAGCUCUAUCAGCAGGGAAGAAAAUGACGGUACCUGACUAAGAAGCCCCGGCUAACUACGUGCCAGCAGCCGCGGUAAUACGUAGGGGGCAAGCGUUAUCCGGAUUUACUGGGUGUAAAGGGAGCGUAGACGGUCCUGCAAGCCAGAUGUGAAAGCCCGGGGCUCAACCCCGGGACUGCAUUUGGAACUGUAAGGCUAGAGUGUCGGAGAGGCAGGCGGAAUUCCUAGUGUAGCGGUGAAAUGCGUAGAUAUCUGGAGGAACAUCAGUGGCGAAGGCGACUAUCUGGCACAUAACUGACGCUGAGGAGCGAAAGCGUGGGUAGCAAACAGGAUUAGAUACCCUUGUAA
This 446-nucleotide ribosomal RNA is filed under the name uncultured bacterium. RNAcentral's name for it is "bacterial SSU rRNA". It matches the Rfam family "Bacterial small subunit ribosomal RNA", at positions 330 to 793 of the family's 1533-position model. The record is from RNAcentral.